Musa acuminata subsp. malaccensis (wild Malaysian banana) is the source of this 82-nucleotide non-coding RNA. NCBI's taxonomy places the organism in Eukaryota, Viridiplantae, Streptophyta, Magnoliopsida, Zingiberales, Musaceae. The record is from Rfam.
AGCUCGAUGAUCGUAUUCAUUUUUUGAUGAUAUACGCUAUUCUGAGAAAUUUAAAGUGCUGAUAAGAUAGAAUAUGAGAGCU